AUGAACGCUGGCGGCGUGCCUAAUACAUGCAAGUCGAGCGAACAGACGAGGAGCUUGCUCCUCUGACGUUAGCGGCGGACGGGUUAGUAACACGUGGAUAACCUACCUAUAAGACUGGGAUAACUUCGGGAAACCGGAGCUAAUACCGGAUAAUAUAUUGAACCGCAUGGUUCAAUAGUGAAAGACGGUUUUGCUGUCACUUAUAGAUGGAUCCGCGCCGCAUUAGCUAGUUGGUAAGGUAACGGCUUACCAAGGCGACGAUGCGUAGCCGACCUGAGAGGGUGAUCGGCCACACUGGAACUGAGACACGGUCCAGACUCCUACGGGAGGCAGCAGUAGGGAAUCUUCCGCAAUGGGCGAAAGCCUGACGGAGCAACGCCGCGGGAGUGAUGAAGGUCUUCGGAUCGUAAAACUCUGUUAUUAGGGAAGAACAAAUGUGUAAGUAACUAUGCACGUCUUGACGGUACCUAAUCAGAAAGCCACGGCUAACUACGUG
RNAcentral lists this ribosomal RNA (496 nucleotides) under uncultured bacterium. RNAcentral's name for it is "partial 16S ribosomal RNA". It matches the Rfam family "Bacterial small subunit ribosomal RNA", at positions 29 to 507 of the family's 1533-position model. The record is from RNAcentral.